This 252-nucleotide ribosomal RNA is filed under the name uncultured bacterium. RNAcentral's name for it is "partial 16S ribosomal RNA". It matches the Rfam family "Bacterial small subunit ribosomal RNA", at positions 524 to 776 of the family's 1533-position model. The record is from RNAcentral.
UACGGGGGGGCAAGCGUUGUUCGGAAUUACUGGGCGUAAAGGGCUCGUAGGCGGCCAACUAAGUCAGACGUGAAAUCCCUCGGCUUAACCGGGGAACUGCGUCUGAUACUGGAUGGCUAGAGUUUGGGAGAGGGAUGCGGAAUUCCAGGUGUAGCGGUGAAAUGCGUAGAUAUCUGGAGGAACACCGGUGGCGAAGGCGGCAUCCUGGACCAACACUGACGCUGAGGAGCGAAAGCCAGGGGAGCAAACGGG